UGCUGCACUGAUUGAUUUUGGUCGCCAACGAGUGGCGGACGGGUGAGUAACACGUAGGUAACCUGCCCAGAAGCGGGGGACAACAUUUGGAAACAGAUGCUAAUACCGCAUAACAACGUUGUUCGCAUGAACAACGCUUAAAAGAUGGCUUCUCGCUAUCACUUCUGGAUGGACUGCGGUGCAUUAGCUUGUUGGUGGGGUAAUGGCCUACCAAGGCGAUGAUGCAUAGCCGAGUUGAGAGACUGAUCGGCCACAAUGGGACUGAGACACGGCCCAUACUCCUACGGGAGGCAGCAGUAGGGAAUCUUCCACAAUGGGCGCAAGCCUGAUGGAGCAACACCGCGUGAGUGAAGAAGGGUUUCGGCUCGUAAAGCUCUGUUGUUAAAGAAGAACACGUAUGAGAGUAACUGUUCAUACGUUGACGGUAUUUAACCAGAAAGUCACGGCUAACUACGUGCCAGCAGCCGCGGUAAUACGUAGGUGGCAAGCGUUAUCCGGAUUUAUUGGGCGUAAAGAGAGUGCAGGCGGUUUUCUAAGUCUGAUGUGAAAGCCUUCGGCUUAACCGGAGAAGUGCAUCGGAAACUGGAUAACUUGAGUGCAGAAGAGGGUAGUGGAACUCCAUGUGUAGCGGUGGAAUGCGUAGAUAUAUGGAAGAACACCAGUGGCGAAGGCGGCUACCUGGUCUGCAACUGACGCUGAGACUCGAAAGCAUGGGUAGCGAACAGGAUUAGAUACCCUGGUAGUCCAUGCCGUAAACGAUGAGUGCUAGGUGUUGGAGGGUUUCCGCCCUUCAGUGCCGGAGCUAACGCAUUAAGCACUCCGCCUGGGGAGUACGACCGCAAGGUUGAAACUCAAAGGAAUUGACGGGGGCCCGCACAAGCGGUGGAGCAUGUGGUUUAAUUCGAAGCUACGCGAAGAACCUUACCAGGUCUUGACAUCUUGCGCCAACCCUAGAGAUAGGGCGUUUCCUUCGGGAACGCAAUGACAGGUGGUGCAUGGUCGUCGU
This 1006-nucleotide ribosomal RNA is filed under the name Limosilactobacillus fermentum. Its description in RNAcentral is "bacterial SSU rRNA". It matches the Rfam family "Bacterial small subunit ribosomal RNA", at positions 60 to 1055 of the family's 1533-position model. The record is from RNAcentral. Lineage: Bacteria; Bacillati; Bacillota; Bacilli; Lactobacillales; Lactobacillaceae.